RNAcentral lists this long non-coding RNA (1439 nucleotides) under Helianthus annuus (common sunflower). RNAcentral describes it as "hypothetical non coding rna". The record is from RNAcentral. Lineage: Eukaryota; Viridiplantae; Streptophyta; Magnoliopsida; Asterales; Asteraceae.
UAUCUUCUUUCCUUCCUUUAUCUCGCCAUUCUGUUGUAUAUAUACACCUAUUAUUUUUCUUUAGUAUUCACCAAUAAUAAUCUAAAGUCAUGCUCGUUUUAAGUAUUGUAACUCUCGAUCACCGCUACCCUUUCCGAUUAAUCUGAGUCCCAUAACGCAUGUCAAGGCUCUGCCCGACUAAGUUCGUUUGGAUUCUAUCUCGGGACUUCGGGACAAGGUUGAAUUAGGGGUACUAUACUUAACACGAGUACAUUAUAUUUUUAAUUAGCUCAAAAGUUAUACCCAAAAUUUAUAUCAGGAGUCCUUCUAGUUGAACCCUAAAGUUACACAGUGGGUCCAUUCAUUUUUCUCACCAUUUUAUUCUCUUUUUGUAAUUUACCCAAAACUAUUAUUUAUUAUUCUAUUCUCACCAAAAGUCAUAUCUACUAUUUUAUUUACUCAAUAGGAAACCCUAGUUGAGACACCCAAGUAAUUUUACACAAUCUCUAAAAUUUUCAUAACAAACAGAAUCAGGAUCAGGGCCCCUAAAACUCAGGGGGGGUAAACCCUAGUUGAUGAUUAUCAAUAGAAACUCGUUGUCUAAAUCUGAUUGGACAAAACUAUAAAGUCAGCAGGCCUAGUCCCAAACGUGGCUACCCUAUAGUCGGUUCAUACCCCUUACUGACCGUAAGGGAUAAGGCUUACGGUCCAUAAGCCUGUCAAAUUUCGUGUAUAAAUAGCAGGCAUCGGCACUUGCAGUCUGCUGUUCAUACACCGAGUUAUCGUCCAAAUACUCUAAAAACACACACGCGAAUCACUAAUUAGUAUAGCAGGGUGCUGCUACGAUACAGGGUAUUAACUCGAUCGCUAUUACGAUUCAUUUUCCGACCGAUCAAUAUAUCCAAUGGAUGUUUAAGUGCCGCCCACACUAGGGUUAUACUUUGUCAUUCGUCGUUAAUUCAAUGGAUGUUUAAGUAUCGUACUUUGUCGUUCGUCGUUAAUUCGAUGGAUGUUUAAGUAUCGCACUUUGUCGUUCGUUGUUACAAGGCUAAAUCAAUAGGCUAAGCUCUGCCUGUGUAAAUCUGCAAUAUAUCAAGGCUUAUCUGUAGACUAAACUUUGGCCGUAUGAAUCUGCAUGUUUAUAAUGUGAGUCAUUUUCUCUUUUUAUCAAAUGUUUUACAAUACUCCAAAUUAUUUUCAGAAUAAUAAUUACAGUGAUUAAGUUGAUGUAAUCACCAAAUUACAGCCAGUAUGUGGGGUAUUGUGCACAUUACUAUUGUUUUUAUCACUUUAAGUGGGCGAACCUAAAAUUAAGUGAUACGUCAUUCAUUGGGGCAGCCAAUGGUGAUAUGACCAUUGUCACAGAUUCGGUCGAGUGACAAAUACUGUGGGUAGUUGGUUGAUAUCAGAAACAUAUGUAAAAGAUCUUAAUACUGUAAAUUAAAAUAAACGAGUCGUUU